RNAcentral lists this ribosomal RNA (1346 nucleotides) under uncultured bacterium. Its description in RNAcentral is "partial 16S ribosomal RNA". It matches the Rfam family "Bacterial small subunit ribosomal RNA", at positions 28 to 1381 of the family's 1533-position model. The record is from RNAcentral.
GACGAACGCUGGCGGCGUGCUUAACACAUGCAAGUCGAACGGAAAGGCCCUGCUUUUGUGGGGUGCUCGAGUGGCGAACGGGUGAGUAACACGUGAGUAACCUGCCCUUGACUUUGGGAUAACUUCAGGAAACUGGGGCUAAUACCGGAUAGGAGCUCCUGCUGCAUGGUGGGGGUUGGAAAGCUUCGGCGGUUGGGGAUGGACUCGCGGCUUAUCAGCUUGUUGGUGGGGUAGUGGCUUACCAAGGCUUUGACGGGUAGCCGGCCUGAGAGGGUGACCGGCCACAUUGGGACUGAGAUACGGCCCAGACUCCUACGGGAGGCAGCAGUGGGGAAUAUUGCACAAUGGGCGGAAGCCUGAUGCAGCAACGCCGCGUGCGGGAUGACGGCCUUCGGGUUGUAAACCGCUUUCGCCUGUGACGAAGCGUGAGUGACGGUAAUGGGUAAAGAAGCACCGGCUAACUACGUGCCAGCAGCCGCGGUGAUACGUAGGGUGCGAGCGUUGUCCGGAUUUAUUGGGCGUAAAGGGCUCGUAGGUGGUUGAUCGCGUCGGAAGUGUAAUCUUGGGGCUUAACCCUGAGCGUGCUUUCGAUACGGGUUGACUUGAGGAAGGUAGGGGAGAAUGGAAUUCCUGGUGGAGCGGUGGAAUGCGCAGAUAUCAGGAGGAACACCAGUGGCGAAGGCGGUUCUCUGGGCCUUUCCUGACGCUGAGGAGCGGAAGCGUGGGGAGCGAACAGGCUUAGAUACCCUGGUAGUCCACGCUGUAAACGGUGGGUACUAGGUGUGGGGUCCAUUCCACGGGUUCCGUGCCGUAGCUAACGCUUUAAGUACCCCGCCUGGGGAGUACGGCCGCAAGGCUAAAACUCAAAGGAAUUGACGGGGCCCCGCACAAGCGGCGGAGCAUGCGGAUUAAUUCGAUGCAACGCGUAGAACCUUACCUGGGUUUGACAUGGAUCGGGAGUGCUCAGAGAUGGGUGUGCCUCUUUUGGGGUCGGUUCACAGGUGGUGCAUGGCUGUCGUCAGCUCGUGUCGUGAGAUGUUGGGUUAAGUCCCGCAACGAGCGCAACCCUUGUUCACUGUUGCCAGCACGUUAUGGUGGGGACUCAGUGGAGACCGCCGGGGUCAACUCGGAGGAAGGUGGGGAUGACGUCAAGUCAUCAUGCCCCUUAUGUCCAGGGCUUCACGCAUGCUACAAUGGCUGGUACAGAGAGUGGCGAGCCUGUGAGGGUGAGCGAAUCUCGGAAAGCCGGUCUCAGUUCGGAUUGGGGUCUGCAACUCGACCUCAUGAAGUCGGAGUCGCUAGUAAUCGCAGAUCAGCAACGCUGCGGUGAAUACGUUCCCGGGGCU